Molecule: ribosomal RNA, 433 nt
Filed under: uncultured bacterium
Lineage: Bacteria
Description: partial 16S ribosomal RNA
Rfam family: Bacterial small subunit ribosomal RNA
Source: RNAcentral
AACGAACGCUGGCGGCAUGCCUAACACAUGCAAGUCGAACGAACCCUUCGGGGUUAGUGGCGCACGGGUGCGUAACGCGUGGGAAUCUGCCCUUUGCUUCGGAAUAACUCAGGGAAACUUGUGCUAAUACCGGAUGAUGUCUUCGGACCAAAGAUUUAUCGGCAAGGGAUGAGCCCGCGUAGGAUUAGGUAGUUGGUGGGGUAAAGGCCUACCAAGCCGACGAUCCUUAGCUGGUCUGAGAGGAUGAUCAGCCACACUGGGACUGAGACACGGCCCAGACUCCUACGGGAGGCAGCAGUGGGGAAUAUUGGACAAUGGGCGCAAGCCUGAUCCAGCACUGCCGCGUGAGUGAUGAAGGCCCUCGGGUCGUAAAGCUCUUUUACCAGGGAUGAUAAUGACAGUACCUGGAGAAUAAGCUCCGGCUAACUCCGUG